RNAcentral lists this ribosomal RNA (426 nucleotides) under uncultured Myxococcales bacterium. RNAcentral describes it as "bacterial SSU rRNA". It matches the Rfam family "Bacterial small subunit ribosomal RNA", at positions 353 to 772 of the family's 1533-position model. Lineage: Bacteria; Pseudomonadati; Myxococcota; Myxococcia; Myxococcales. The record is from RNAcentral.
AGUGGGGAAUUUUGCACAAUGGGCGAAAGCCUGAUGCAGCAACGCCGCGUGUGUGAUGAAGGUUUUCGGAUCGUAAAGCACUUUCGACCGGGACGAACACCCCUUGGCUAACAUCCAGGGGCCUGACGGUACCGGGAGAAGAAGCACCGGCUAACUCUGUGCCAGCAGCCGCGGUAAUACAGAGGGUGCAAGCGUUGUUCGGAAUUAUUGGGCGUAAAGCGCGUGUAGGCGGCUUUGCAAGUCGGGUGUGAAAGCCCUCAGCUUAACUGAGGAAGUGCGCCCGAAACUGCAUGGCUUGAGUACCGGAGAGGAUGGUGGAAUUCCCCAAGUAGAGGUGAAAUUCGUAGAUAUGGGGAGGAACACCGGUGGCGAAGGCGACCAUCUGGACGGAUACUGACGCUGAGACGCGAAAGCGUGGGUAGCAAA